This 335-nucleotide non-coding RNA is filed under the name Schistosoma mansoni. The record is from RNAcentral. Lineage: Eukaryota; Metazoa; Platyhelminthes; Trematoda; Strigeidida; Schistosomatidae.
CUCCUCCACGAGAGGUAACAGGCGUAAACGUAAUAGUGACCCGGUUAUAAAUUGAUCGAUGGAACUCAAUCAAUACUACAAGAAUAGGAUUACUUACAAUCAGUGAUUACAUAAUAUAAAAGUCCCAGUCUUACGGGAAAGUUGUCAUGACUUCGAUACUUCAAUGGUAAGUCUCAAUUUGAAUAUGAGAAAUCUUAACUCAUCUAAACGUAGCCAAAAGUUUAUGCGUUCAGUAGAUAGUUGAUAAUAACGUUCUUAGUUAAAAUAAUGAAUGGUGUAAGGUAGAAAUUAGGAUGAAGUGUGAGUUAAAUUUAUAUUUCAUAUGAAUCUAAUAU